GACGAACGCUGGCGGCGUGCUUAACACAUGCAAGUCGAACGGAAAGGCCCUGCUUUUGUUGGGUGCUCGAGUGGCGAACGGGUGAGUAACACGUGAGUAACCUGCCCUUGACUUUGGGAUAACUUCAGGAAACUGGGGCUAAUACCGGAUAGGAGCUCCUGCUGCAUGGUGGGGGUUGGAAAGUUUCGGCGGUUGGGGAUGGACUCGCGGCUUAUCAGCUUGUUGGUGGGGUAGUGGCUUACCAAGGCUUUGACGGGUAGCCGGCCUGAGAGGGUGACCGGGCACAGUGGGCCUGAGAUACGGCCCAGACGCCUACGGGAGGCAGCAGUGGGGAAUAUUGCACAAUGGGCGGAAGGCUGAUGCAGCAAUGCCGCGUGCGGGAUGACGGCCUUCGGGGUGUAAACCGAUUUCGCCUGUGAAGAAGAGUGAGUGACGGUAAUGGGUAAAGAAGCAACGGCUAACUACGUG
This 468-nucleotide ribosomal RNA is filed under the name uncultured bacterium. Its description in RNAcentral is "partial 16S ribosomal RNA". It matches the Rfam family "Bacterial small subunit ribosomal RNA", at positions 28 to 507 of the family's 1533-position model. The record is from RNAcentral.